AUUGAACGCUGGCGGCAGGCUUAACACAUGCAAGUCGAGCGGAGCGAGGGUGCUUGCACCUUAGCUUAGCGGCGGACGGGUGAGUAAUGCUUAGGAAUCUGCCUAUUAGUGGGGGACAACAUUCCGAAAGGAAUGCUAAUACCGCAUACGCCCUACGGGGGAAAGCAGGGGAUCCUCGGACCUUGCGAUAAUCGAUGAGCCUAAGUCGGAUUAGCUAGUUGGUGGGGUAAAGGCCUACAAAGGCGACGAUCUGUAGCGGGUCUGAGAGGAUGAUCCGCCACACUGGGACUGAGACACGGCCCAGACUCCUACGGGAGGCAGCAGUGGGGAAUAUUGGACAAUGGGCGGAAGCCUGAUCCAGCCAUGCCGCGUGUGUGAAGAAGGCCUUUUGGUUGUAAAGCACUUUAAGCGAGGAGGAGGCUACUAGUAUUAAUACUACUGGAUAGUGGACGUUACUCGCAGAAUAAGCACCGGCUAACUCUGUGCCAGUCGCCGCCGUAA
Molecule: ribosomal RNA, 501 nt
Filed under: uncultured bacterium
Lineage: Bacteria
Description: partial 16S ribosomal RNA
Rfam family: Bacterial small subunit ribosomal RNA
Source: RNAcentral